CGUCCCGUUAUAGUACCUUCCACUCCCGUCUCGUUGAAUGGAAGGCUAUGCUAAUGGGAUAGAAAAACAUAGUCAUGGUCUGAGGGUGUGGUUAACCUUUUUGUGUGCCCACUAAAUAAAUUGACAAGACAUGUUCGG
RNAcentral lists this small nucleolar RNA (138 nucleotides) under Labrus bergylta (ballan wrasse). RNAcentral describes it as "Small nucleolar RNA SNORA29 (ENSLBEG00000013648.1)". It matches the Rfam family "Small nucleolar RNA SNORA29". Rfam says of the family: ACA29 is a member of the H/ACA class of snoRNA that guide the sites of modification of uridines to pseudouridines. The record is from Rfam by way of RNAcentral. Lineage: Eukaryota; Metazoa; Chordata; Actinopteri; Labriformes; Labridae.